CAGCAGUCGCCACGGUAAUACGAAGGGGGCUAGCGUUGUUCGGAAUUACUGGGCGUAAAGCGCACGUAGGCGGAUAUUUAAGUCAGGGGUGAAAUCCCAGAGCUCAACUCUGGAACUGCCUUUGAUACUGGGUAUCUUGAGUAUGGAAGAGGUGAGUGGAAUUCCGAGUGUAGAGGUGAAAUUCGUAGAUAUUCGGAGGAACACCAGUGGCGAAGGCGACUGACUGGACAAGUAUUGACGCUGAGGUGCGAAAGCGUGGGGAUCGAACAGGAUUAGAUACCCCGGUAGUCCCUGUCUCUUAUAC
This 304-nucleotide ribosomal RNA is filed under the name uncultured bacterium. Its description in RNAcentral is "partial 16S ribosomal RNA". It matches the Rfam family "Bacterial small subunit ribosomal RNA", at positions 506 to 807 of the family's 1533-position model. The record is from RNAcentral.